This 500-nucleotide ribosomal RNA is filed under the name uncultured bacterium. RNAcentral describes it as "partial 16S ribosomal RNA". It matches the Rfam family "Bacterial small subunit ribosomal RNA", at positions 30 to 523 of the family's 1533-position model. The record is from RNAcentral.
AUUGAACGCUGGCGGCAGGCCUAACACAUGCAAGUCGAGCGGAUGACGGGAGCUUGCUCCUUGAUUCAGCGGCAGACGGGUGAGUAAUGCCUAGGAAUCUGCCUGGUAGUGGGGGACAACGUUUCGAAAGGAACGCUAAUACCGCAUACGUCCUACGGGAGAAAGCAGGGGACCUUCGGGCCUUGCGCUAUCAGAUGAGCCUAGGUCGGAUUAGCUAGUUGGCGGGGUAAUGGAUCACCAAGGCGACGUUCCGUAACUGGUCUGAGAGGAUGAACAGGUAAGCUGGAACUGAGACACGGUCCAGGAUCCCACGGGAGGCAGCAGUGGGGAAUAUUGGACAAUGGGCGAGAGCCUGAUCCAGCCAUGCCGCGUGUGUGAAGAAGGUCUUCGGCUUGUAAAGCACUUUAAGUUGGGAGGAAGGGCAGUAAGUGAAUACCUUGCUGUUUUGACGUUACCGACAGAAUAAGCACCGGCUAACUCUGUGCCAGCAGCCGCCGUAA